CAGUCGCCGCGGUAAUACAGAGGGUGCAAGCGUUAACCGGAAUCACUGGGCUUAAAGCGCGUGUAGGCGGAUGGGAGCGUCGGCCUCUGAAAUCCCCCGGCUCAACCGGGGAAGUGGAGCCGAAACGACCCGUCUGGAGGGACGUAGGGGGACCUGGAACUUCCGGUGGAGCGGUGAAAUGCGUUGAGAUCGGAAGGAACGCCCGUGGCGAAAGCGAGGUCCUGGACGUCUGCUGACGCUGAGACGCGAAAGCCAGGGGAGCGAACGGGAUUAGAUACCCCCGUAGUCCCUGUCUCUUAUA
RNAcentral lists this ribosomal RNA (301 nucleotides) under uncultured bacterium. Its description in RNAcentral is "partial 16S ribosomal RNA". It matches the Rfam family "Bacterial small subunit ribosomal RNA", at positions 509 to 807 of the family's 1533-position model. The record is from RNAcentral.